GGGUCGGCAGUUCACCCAGGCAUCGCCACUGCACUUUUUAUUGAGCGCAGCGCUAAACCUGCUG
RNAcentral lists this non-coding RNA (64 nucleotides) under Shewanella sediminis HAW-EB3. RNAcentral describes it as "COG3860 RNA". It matches the Rfam family "COG3860 RNA". Lineage: Bacteria; Pseudomonadati; Pseudomonadota; Gammaproteobacteria; Alteromonadales; Shewanellaceae. The record is from RNAcentral.